GCCGCUCAGAACUUAAGGAAUUGACGGGGCCGCACAAGCGGUGGAGUAUGUGGUUUAGUUCGAUGCAACGCGAAGAACCUUACCUGGUCUUGACAUCCCGGAGACCCUUAGGAAACUAGGGGGUGCUUCCAUCUGGAAGAAUCUGGAGUCAGGUGCUGCAUGGCUGUCGUCAGCUCGUGUCGUGAGAUGUUGGGUUAAGUCCCGCAACGAGCGCAACCCUUGCCUUUAGUUGCCAGCAGUUCGGCUGGGCACUCUAAAGGGACUGCCGGUGUUAAACCGGAGGAAGGUGGGGAUGACGUCAAGUCCUCAUGGCCUUUAUGACCAGGGCUACACACGUACUACAAUGGCCGAUACAAAGGGCAGCGACACUGCGAGGUGAAGCCAAUCCCGUAAAAUCGGUCUCAGUCCGGAUUGGAGUCUGCAACUCGACUCCAUGAAGUUGGAAUCGCUAGUAAUCGUGGAUCAGCAUGCCACGGUGAAUACGUUCCCGGGCCUU
RNAcentral lists this ribosomal RNA (496 nucleotides) under uncultured Desulfobulbus sp. RNAcentral describes it as "bacterial SSU rRNA". It matches the Rfam family "Bacterial small subunit ribosomal RNA", at positions 904 to 1382 of the family's 1533-position model. Lineage: Bacteria; Pseudomonadati; Thermodesulfobacteriota; Desulfobulbia; Desulfobulbales; Desulfobulbaceae. The record is from RNAcentral.